GAUAAACGCUGGCGGCGCACAUAAGACAUGCAAGUCGAACGAACUUAACCAUUAGUUUACUAUUGGAGCGGUUAGUGGCGGACUGGUGAGUAACACGUAAGCAACCUGCCUAUCAGAGGGGAACAACAGUUAGAAAUGACUGCUAAUACCGCAUAUGCCUUGAGUAUCACAUGGUACAAAAGGGAAAGGAGCAAUCCGCUGAUAGAUGGGCUUGCGUCUGAUUAGAUAGUUGGUGAGGUAACGGCCCACCAAGUCGACGAUCAGUAGCCGGACUGAGAGGUUGAACGGCCACAUUGGGACUGAGAUACGGCCCAGACUCCUACGGGAGGCAGCAGUCGGGAAUAUUGCGCAAUGGAGGAAACUCUGACGCAGUGACGCCGCGUGCAGGAAGAAGGUUUUCGGAUUGUAAACUGCUUUAGACAGGGAGAAACAAGACAGUACUCAACAAGGAAGUGACGGCUAACUACGUG
RNAcentral lists this ribosomal RNA (470 nucleotides) under uncultured bacterium. RNAcentral's name for it is "bacterial SSU rRNA". It matches the Rfam family "Bacterial small subunit ribosomal RNA", at positions 28 to 507 of the family's 1533-position model. The record is from RNAcentral.